RNAcentral lists this long non-coding RNA (2587 nucleotides) under Sus scrofa (pig). RNAcentral describes it as "lncRNA (ENSSSCG00040073521.1)". Lineage: Eukaryota; Metazoa; Chordata; Mammalia; Artiodactyla; Suidae. The record is from RNAcentral.
AAGGCUUUUCAAAUAGAAUUUCUAAAUCCCCAGGACUGCAGAAACUGACGAGCAGGGCAGUGGUUACCUCCUCUGACUCAUCCUUUCUCAGCAGACCUCCUGACUCAGUAGGUACCAAGACACUGGAACUUUAGAUUUUCACUAAGAGAUAACUGAAGUGUAGUGGGAGAUGUCUGUACGUCUGCAACCUGCACCACAGCUCACGGCAACACGGGAUCCCUCCCCACUGAGCAAGGCCAGGGAUGGAACCCACAUCCUCAUGGAUACUAAAUGUGGGCACCCUGGCUGGAGCUCCUGAAGCCAUCUUGUGACCUUGAGGAUAGAAGUCAUGGGCCAAGGAUGGGCCAAGCUGAGUGAGAAGUCACCUCCAUACCAGUCCUGAAUUGCCUGCUUUGAAACUUCUUCAUAAAAGAAAUGUGAGACUUCAUUUAAUUUAAGCCACUUUAGUUUUCUCUUUUAGACAGCUAAAUCAAAAUCCGAUACAACAACCACGCAGUUUCAUGCCUCUGAGUUUUUGCAUAGCUGUUCUCUCUGCUAGGAACUUUUCCUUCCAGUCCUCUACCUGGUGAACUUGUAAUCGUGUUUGAAGCUUCCACUGCAGCAUCCCACUCUGUCAUAUGGAGGUUCCCAGGCUAGGGGUCCAAUCGGAACUGUAGCCACCAGCCUAUGCCAGAGCCACAGCAACAUGGGAUCUGAGCUGCGUCUGCUACCUACACCACAGCUCACAGCAAUGCCGGAUCUUAACCCACUGAGCAAGGCCAGGAAUUGAACCCACAACCUCAUGGUUCCUAGUCGGAUUCGUUAACCACUGAGCCAUGACGGGAACUCCAUUGUGAUUUCUUGAGCAAGAACUCAGUACCUGGGAUCGCCUUGAAGUGACCUAAUGCAGGUGGAAGCAGGGUUGAAGUUUCUCAGCAUGGUGUUCAGGCAAGUCUUUUGUGCUAUAGGGAGUUCACUGUCUAGGCCUCCCAGUGUUUAGGUCACUCACAUAUGGCUAUACAAGCAACAAGGCAAAGCCUAGAUUUAAAACACAAGCCUGCUUGACCACAAAGCCCAAAUCAACCCUUGCAUCUGGCUGGUAUUUGUAAUUUAGCUGAGGUGCUGAUUUGGAAUAAGCCCUGUGGGAGACUAGGGAGCAGGAGGGAGGCACUUAGCUGGGGACACUGCCCAGCUGCCCUCAGCAUCAUGAAUCUCCUCUGGUCCUAAGGCAGUAGAACUCUUAUGAAGGAACACAAAAGCCUGUUUUUUAAAAAAUCACUUUAUAGAAAUGUGCCACUGAGUGAGAAACACACACAUACACACACACAUGCCACAUAAGAAAGUUGGAGUGAUUAAGGUGUAAGAACUAUUUGCUUCCUCAUGGGAAAGUAAUUUAGGAGAAAGCUUGAACGUUUCUUUCACAAACAUGGGAACUCUCAGAAGUUUCUAGAAGUCCUCCAAACGUCACUAUCCUGAGCUACAAUGAACUCCCUGAGGUUUUGCCAAAGAGUACAGUUUUAGGAAUUAACAGAAAUUGGCCAUGAGGCGCUCUGCUGCAAGCCACAUCUUUAGCAAAAAGAGAUGUUAGCUACAGGACUUUCCGUGGCAGAGAACAUCAGGUUGCAAAAUUCGAGUCCUUCUCAGAGACUAAUGUAGAUAACUAUAGUUUGCCUCCUAGGACUCUCCCUGGCUUUGGUUGUCAUCAUUACGACCAUUCUUCCAAAUUACUGGGCGGGGGGGUGGUUAACAAGAACAACCCCACAACAGGGAAAACCCAGGGGGGACGGUAGUUUCCUCUAUCAGCUGAGCAGCCCCUGUCUGACAGAAAGGAUUAUUUUGCUCAGAGCCCAAUGCACCUACAUUUGGUAUAACCUCAUCAGAAAAAUGAGCCAGGGACUCUCAUAGUUUUUCCUGUCCAUCAGCCUUUCCCAAUGAGACAGACCUCUUACGGUGUGCUGGGACCCCAGGUUCUCGGGGGUUCUGGAGCACCAGCUGUGCUGACUCUGAGAAGAAUAUCUUGUCAGAGCCAGACUGUGAGGUCCACAUCCUGGGUCCUGGGCCUGAGCCUCCUGGUCUGUAAAGCCCCCCUGUGGGUCUUGCCAUAAGGAGGGGGUGAAUUUACUGCACAAUGAAGGGAGCCUGCCCAGGACAUGUUCACAACAUUGGCUCUUACCCAUCCAUCUGGGAUCUGGUGGCCAUCCUCUCUGAGCUGGGCUGUGGCCAACAGCGCAUGGUCAUCACCAAUGAUGACAGUGGUUAGAGUAUAUGUAUAGCUCACCAAGAAGGGAUGAGCUGCUAGGACAAGGUGACAAAUAGGUCCUCGGCAUGCAGGCGGGGGAGGGAGGAGAGUGGCCUCCAGCACAUACUGGCUGUGGGGUCUUGGGUCCCCUGCUUCCCCUUUCUGUGCCUCUAUUUCCCACUCUAAAAAAUGUCACAGGUUGAAGACCUCAUGUCAUCAUUCCCACACUUGCAUUCAAAGACUUCUAACCCCUGCCCUGGCCUGGGGAAGACAUUUUUGCAAAGUCAGAUUUUAUAACCAUCCCAGCUUCUGAUAUGUCUAAUUAUUGAGUGAGCAAACUGCCUGGAAUAAAAACUAAAACAUGGUAUG